CACUCUAGAGAGACUGCCAGGGAUAACCUGGAGGAAGGUGGGGAUGACGUCAAAUCAUCAUGCCCCUUAUGCUUAGGGCUACACACGUGCUACAAUGGGUAGUACAGAGGGUUGCCAAGCCGUAAGGUGGAGCUAAUCCCUUAAAGCUACUCUCAGUUCGGAUUGUAGGCUGAAACUCGCCUACAUGAAGCUGGAGUUACUAGUAAUCGCAGAUCAGAAUGCUGCGGUGAAUGCGUUCCCGGGUCUUGUACACACCGCCCGUCACACCACGGGAGUUGGAGACGCCCGAAGCCGAUUAUCUAACCUUUUGGAAGAAGUCGGCGAAGGUGGAAUCAAUAACUGGGGUGAAGUCGUAACAAGGUAGCCGUAUCGGAAGGUGCGGCUGGAUCACCUCCUUUCUAAGGAGA
Molecule: ribosomal RNA, 407 nt
Filed under: Clostridioides difficile
Lineage: Bacteria; Bacillati; Bacillota; Clostridia; Peptostreptococcales; Peptostreptococcaceae
Description: bacterial SSU rRNA
Rfam family: Bacterial small subunit ribosomal RNA
Source: RNAcentral